RNAcentral lists this ribosomal RNA (253 nucleotides) under uncultured bacterium. RNAcentral describes it as "partial 16S ribosomal RNA". It matches the Rfam family "Bacterial small subunit ribosomal RNA", at positions 524 to 776 of the family's 1533-position model. The record is from RNAcentral.
UACGAAGGGUGCAAGCGUUAAUCGGAAUUACUGGGCGUAAAGCGUGCGUAGGCGGGUCGUUAAGUCGGGGGUGAAAUCCUGGAGCUCAACUCCAGAACUGCCUUCGAUACUGGCGACCUUGAGUCCGGGAGAGGUGAGUGGAACUCCGAGUGUAGAGGUGAAAUUCGUAGAUAUUCGGAAGAACACCAGUGGCGAAGGCGGCUCACUGGCCCGGUACUGACGCUGAGGUGCGAAAGCGUGGGGAGCAAACAGG